RNAcentral lists this ribosomal RNA (450 nucleotides) under uncultured bacterium. Its description in RNAcentral is "partial 16S ribosomal RNA". It matches the Rfam family "Bacterial small subunit ribosomal RNA", at positions 338 to 795 of the family's 1533-position model. The record is from RNAcentral.
CCUACGGGUGGCUGCAGUGGGGAAUUUUGCGCAAUGGACGAGAGUCUGACGCAGCAACGCCGCGUGGGUGAUGAAGGUCUUCGGACUGUAAAACCCUGUCGUCAGGGACGAAGGUGGCAGGAUUAAUAAUCCUGUUACUUGACGGUACCUGGAGAGGAAGCCCCGGCUAACUCUGUGCCAGCAGCCGCGGUAAUACAGAGGGGGCAAGCGUUAUUCGGAAUUAUUGGAGGCAAUUGUUGAGGUCAGGGUUGUAAUCCCCGGGCUCAACCUGGGAACUGCAUCUGAGACUGGAAGGCUAGAGUACUGGAGAGGGUGGUGGAAUUCCUCGUGUAGCGGUGAAAUGCGUAGAGAUGAGGAGGAACACCAGUGGCGAAGGCGGCCACCUGGACAGUAACUGACGCUGAGGCGCGAAAGUGUGGGUAGCAAACAGGAUUAGAUACCCCAGUAGUC